CGCCUCAUGCCUGAAAGGGCAACGGUGUCGAGCCGGAGCGAGGAGUCAGCAGAGGCCGUAGUAGUCAGCGGCGUGGCCGGCAAGGCUAGGGGCCGCGGGCGAAGGGC
RNAcentral lists this non-coding RNA (107 nucleotides) under Cupriavidus taiwanensis. Lineage: Bacteria; Pseudomonadati; Pseudomonadota; Betaproteobacteria; Burkholderiales; Burkholderiaceae. The record is from RNAcentral.